AUGGCUUCAUCCGGUUCCAGGACGAGGCCGGCGUGUGCGGACCAAGAGGACAUGCCGAAGACGUGGAUGGAGGCCAGGUUGGACAAGGAGAACCAGAAGGAUAAGGAUGUGCCCACACCACCAUGUUGGUGUGGUGAUGUUUGCAAGCUGAAGGUGUCCACUGACCGCAAGAAGUUAUGGACAGAAGGUAGAACGUUUUUCAUGUGUCCCAAUUAUGCACAUGAUCGUCGAAGGCCAACUAACGCAUAUGACAUACCAUUGGUAUGUUAG
This 270-nucleotide ribosomal RNA is filed under the name Triticum aestivum (bread wheat). Its description in RNAcentral is "partial small subunit ribosomal RNA". The record is from RNAcentral. Lineage: Eukaryota; Viridiplantae; Streptophyta; Magnoliopsida; Poales; Poaceae.